This 938-nucleotide ribosomal RNA is filed under the name uncultured Wolbachia sp. Its description in RNAcentral is "bacterial SSU rRNA". It matches the Rfam family "Bacterial small subunit ribosomal RNA", at positions 629 to 1533 of the family's 1533-position model. The record is from RNAcentral. Lineage: Bacteria; Pseudomonadati; Pseudomonadota; Alphaproteobacteria; Rickettsiales; Anaplasmataceae.
AAAACUGCUAACCUAGAGAUUGAAAGAGGAUAGAGGAAUUCCUAGUGUAGAGGUGAAAUUCGUAAAUAUUAGGAGGAACACCAGUGGCGAAGGCGUCUAUCUGGUUCAAAUCUGACGCUGAGGCGCGAAGGCGUGGGGAGCGAACAGGAUUAGAUACCCUGGUAGUCCACGCUGUAAACGAUGAAUGUUAAAUAUGGGAAGUUUACUUUCUGUAUUACAGCUAACGCGUUAAACAUUCCGCCUGGGGACUACGGUCGCAAGAUUAAAACUCAAAGGAAUUGACGGGGACCCGCACAAGCGGUGGAGCAUGUGGUUUAAUUCGAUGCAACGCGAAAAACCUUACCACUCCUUGACAUGGAAAUUAUACCUAUUCGAAGGGAUAGGGUCGGUUCGGCCGGAUUUCACACAGGUGUUGCAUGGCUGUCGUCAGCUCGUGUCGUGAGAUGUUGGGUUAAGUCCCGCAACGAGCGCAACCCUCAUCCUUAGUUACCAUCAGGUAAUGCUGGGGACUUUAAGGAAACUGCCAGUGAUAAACUGGAGGAAGGUGGGGAUGAUGUCAAGUCAUCAUGGCCCUUAUGGAGUGGGCUACACACGUGCUACAAUGGUGGCUACAAUGGGCUGCAAAGUCGCGAGGCUAAGCUAAUCCCUUAAAAGCCGUCUCAGUUCGGAUUGUACUCUGCAACUCGAGUACAUGAAGUUGGAAUCGCUAGUAAUCGUGGAUCAGCAUGCCACGGUGAAUACGUUCUCGGGUCUUGUACACACUGCCCGUCACGCCAUGGGAAUUGGUUUCACUCGAAGCUAACGACCUAACCGCAAGGAGGGAGUUAUUUAAAGUGGGAUCGGUGACUGGGGUGAAGUCGUAACAAGGUAGCCGUAGAAUCACUAGUGAAUUCGCGGCCGCCUGCAGGUCGACCAUAUGGGAGAGCUCCCAACGCGUG